Molecule: non-coding RNA, 2145 nt
Organism: Schizosaccharomyces pombe (fission yeast)
Lineage: Eukaryota; Fungi; Ascomycota; Schizosaccharomycetes; Schizosaccharomycetales; Schizosaccharomycetaceae
Source: the annotation of a GenBank genome assembly
AAUUGCAAAAGCACGAUCUGCCUCAUUCAACAGUCUGAAAAUUGGGCGAACAAACUUCAUACGGCCAACGCUGCCAACACGUUCUGCAAUAGUGUUGUAUAAUGGCUUAUAUUUACUCUUCAAUGCGAGUUUAAAAAACCGGAAAGAUAACUCUGCAUUUUUCGAUUCGGCAAACGAGUAAACAUCACCCAUUCUUUUAAUAUAAUUGUGAGGAAAAGAGACAGCUUCAUAAACAACAUCCAAAAACAAAGAUUUCUGGCCCGCUGACCAAUUUUCAAUAUCUUUGCUGCUAAACUUGGAGGGAUCAUCAGAAUUUUUAGCAGAAUUAGUCCAGCUUUCUGCAAGCUUGUAGCAAGGAUCUGCAAGCGUUGUAUCAAAAUGUGGUUUAACCGGAGGCAUACCAGGAGCAUGGUACCAAGUAUCCCAAUCAAUCGAGUCCAACUUAGAUGCAAGCCCAAGAGGUGAGAAGUAUUCAUACAGUGCAUGCUUGAAUUUGACUUCGUUUACGGUAGACUUUGCAAAUUUCCUAAAGUAAAAGGGAAGGAAUGGUUCAAAAACAGAAGGACCACCAAUAACCCUCUCUAUUUCAUAGAGGAAAUUGGAGCCCUUUUCGUAAGGAACAGUGGAAAAGGCAUCAUCGGGAUCCCUUCCUUCGAGGUUUUGAAUCAACUUCGUAUACUCACUAUCUUCACCCAACAAUUUAACCGAUUCUUCUAAUUCACCCCAGCCAAUAAUGGCUUCAAAUUGGCGAGUCGGCUCACCAUAAAGACGGCCUAAAAUUUUGCGUUCCAAGAAAACAGUCAUACCUUCAUUCAACCAAAAGCAUUGCCAUGACUCAUUAGUAACUAAAUUACCGCUCCAAGAAUGGGCUAAUUCAUGAGCAAUAACGUUAACAUUGGAGCGAUCUCCGGCAAUAAGUGUCGGCGUAGCAAACGUAGCAUUAGGGUUCUCCAUACCUCCGUAUGGGAAGGAAGGCGGAAGGAUGACAAAAUCAUACCGUGUCCAGCAAUAAGGAAGUGUUAGUUGCUCGGCGGCUUCCAUAAAGUUUUCCAUGUCAUGUUCAAAUUCGUAUUUGCAAGCUAACAAGUUGCCAGGCUCUGUGUAUACAGAAGAACGUGGACCUAUAUUUGUGGAGGCCAAAUCACCACUGAGAAUGCAAAAUAAAUAACUAGGGAUUGGAUUUUUUUGCUCAAACAGGUAUUCCAAAGAGCCAUUGCAGAAAUUAGCUGUUCCACAUGGGAUACCCGAUGCGAUUACGGGAAGUUUGGACCGGAUCUUAAAAGUACACGGAACUUUAACAGAAGGAGUAUCUUGACAGGGAAUGAAUGAACGUGCAUGAAUGGCUUGACAUUCCGAAAAAACAUAAGGAAAUUUACCACCUAUCGUUUGUUCAGGCUUCAAAAACUGAAGUGCUGUACAAUCCUUAGUAGUGGAAUAUAAGAUUGUAAGUAUACAGGAUUUUGAGGAAGGGAUUUCAUCAGCGGGAACGAUAUGCAAAGCUGAACCCAAAAAUCCGCGCCGCUUAUCAACACGGAAAGGAGUAGGGAUGUCAUUAAUCGUUACAUUCUUGAUUUCGAGGUAAGAAGUGUCAAGGAUAAUAUGGGACAGGGCUUGGGACACCCUAGCAGAUUGAAUCACAAAGGAUACUUUACCAUGGAGCAGCUCUUGGUCAAAGUCAAUUCGAGCGUGCCAAUCGAGCUUACUGAUUGAGACAUCAUGAUAAUUAGAUUGAGUGGAAGGGUCCAAACGAAGUUUCAUAUUUAAAAUUAAUUGAAGGAAUUUAGGACAAUGUACAAACGAAUUCUUUAAACGAAAACAACGCUCAAUAUAUUAGAAGCCUAGAUAAAACCAACGAGUACAACGAUCUCAGCUUUAGCAAUAUGAGUUAUGCUACUGAGUAAAUAAAAAUAUUAAGUAUAAAAUAGUUAAAACAGAUUAAUCACAGUUUUAUAAAGGAAGGAAUAGGAAAAGCGAUCAUACAGCAAUACGAUGAGUAGCAACAUGUGUGGAUAUGGGUGCAGCGCGUUAUGCUACUUUAUCGAUAUCAUUAUGUAUCACUACAUUUAUUUUCGUUGAGCAACGCAAUUUGUAAAUUCACAAAAGAAAACAGUUUAUUGUUGAAUAGGAGUUUUGGAGAGAGGGCUU